This 923-nucleotide ribosomal RNA is filed under the name Limosilactobacillus reuteri. RNAcentral's name for it is "bacterial SSU rRNA". It matches the Rfam family "Bacterial small subunit ribosomal RNA", at positions 518 to 1440 of the family's 1533-position model. The record is from RNAcentral. Lineage: Bacteria; Bacillati; Bacillota; Bacilli; Lactobacillales; Lactobacillaceae.
CGGUAAUACGUAGGUGGCAAGCGUUAUCCGGGAUUUAUUGGGCGUAAAGCGAGCGCAGGCGGUUGCUUAGGUCUGAUGUGAAAGCCUUCGGCUUAACCGAAGAAGUGCAUCGGAAACCGGGCGACUUGAGUGCAGAAGAGGACAGUGGAACUCCAUGUGUAGCGGUGGAAUGCGUAGAUAUAUGGAAGAACACCAGUGGCGAAGGCGGCUGUCUGGUCUGCAACUGACGCUGAGGCUCGAAAGCAUGGGUAGCGAACAGGAUUAGAUACCCUGGUAGUCCAUGCCGUAAACGAUGAGUGCUAGGUGUUGGAGGGUUUCCGCCCUUCAGUGCCGGAGCUAACGCAUUAAGCACUCCGCCUGGGGAGUACGACCGCAAGGUUGAAACUCAAAGGAAUUGACGGGGGCCCGCACAAGCGGUGGAGCAUGUGGUUUAAUUCGAAGCUACGCGAAGAACCUUACCAGGUCUUGACAUCUUGCGCUAACCUUAGAGAUAAGGCGUUCCCUUCGGGGACGCAAUGACAGGUGGUGCAUGGUCGUCGUCAGCUCGUGUCGUGAGAUGUUGGGUUAAGUCCCGCAACGAGCGCAACCCUUGUUACUAGUUGCCAGCAUUAAGUUGGGCACUCUAGUGAGACUGCCGGUGACAAACCGGAGGAAGGUGGGGACGACGUCAGAUCAUCAUGCCCCUUAUGACCUGGGCUACACACGUGCUACAAUGGACGGUACAACGAGUCGCAAGCUCGCGAGAGUAAGCUAAUCUCUUAAAGCCGUUCUCAGUUCGGACUGUAGGCUGCAACUCGCCUACACGAAGUCGGAAUCGCUAGUAAUCGCGGAUCAGCAUGCCGCGGUGAAUACGUUCCCGGGCCUUGUACACACCGCCCGUCACACCAUGGGAGUUUGUAACGCCCAAAGUCGGUGGCCUAACC